This 379-nucleotide unclassified non-coding RNA is filed under the name soil metagenome. RNAcentral describes it as "partial contains 5.8S ribosomal RNA, internal transcribed spacer 2, and large subunit ribosomal RNA". The stretch from base 1 to 120 matches the Rfam family "5.8S ribosomal RNA", at positions 35 to 154 of the family's 154-position model. The record is from RNAcentral.
GAUGAAGAACGUAGUGAAAUGCGAUAAGUAAUGUGAAUUGCAGAAUUCAGUGAAUCAUCGAAUCUUUGAACGCACCUUGCACCCUUUGGCAUUCCGAAGGGUAUGCUCGUUUGAGUGUCAUUGUACUCUCACACUUCCAAUCUUUGGAUUGGGGGCGGUGGACUUGGGUGUUGCUGCUUACUGUGGCUCACCUCAAAUUGAUUCGUGCACCUCUUGGUUGGACAUAGUACGGCGUGAUAAGUGUCUUCGCCGGCACCUCAGUAGAGGGUGGCUGAUCGGGAGCUCUGUGCUUCAAACCGUCAUCGGACAACAACUGACAACUUGACCUCAAAUCGAGUAGGACUACCCGCUGAACUUAAGCAUAUCAAUAAGCGGAGGA